GCGGGUGUAGCUUAGCCCGGUUAAAAGCGUCCCCCUGUCACGGGGAAGAACGUGGGUUCAAAUCCCAUCGCCCGCG
Molecule: transfer RNA, 76 nt
Filed under: Parcubacteria group bacterium CG2_30_36_18
Lineage: Bacteria
Also listed under: 3 other names
Description: tRNA-Asp
Rfam family: tRNA
About the family: Transfer RNA (tRNA) molecules are approximately 80 nucleotides in length.
Source: RNAcentral